This 492-nucleotide ribosomal RNA is filed under the name uncultured bacterium. RNAcentral describes it as "partial 16S ribosomal RNA". It matches the Rfam family "Bacterial small subunit ribosomal RNA", at positions 29 to 507 of the family's 1533-position model. The record is from RNAcentral.
AGUGAACGCUGGCGGUAGGCCUAACACAUGCAAGUCGAACGGCAGCACAGUAAGAGCUUGCUCUUACGGGUGGCGAGUGGCGGACGGGUGAGGAAUACAUCGGAAUCUACUUUUUCGUGGGGGAUAACGUAGGGAAACUUACGCUAAUACCGCAUACGACCUACGGGUGAAAGCAGGGGAUCUUCGGACCUUGCGCGAUUGAAUGAGCCGAUGUCGGAUUAGCUAGUUGGCGGGGUAAAGGCCCACCAAGGCGACGUUCCGUAGCUGGUCUGAGAGGAUGAUCAGCCACACUGGAACUGAGACACGGUCCAGACUCCUACGGGAGGCAGCAGUGGGGAAUAUUGGACAAUGGGCGCAAGCCUGAUCCAGCCAUACCGCGUGGGUGCAGAAGGCCUUCGGGUUGUAAAGCCCUUUUGUUGGGAAAGAAAAGCAGCAGGUUAAUACCCCGCUGUUCUGACGGUACCCAAAGAAUAAGCACCGGCUAACUUCGUG